UUCAGCCUGUCCUGGCACCCCUUCUCUGUUUCAGCCAGAAGAUGCAAUUUUCUCAAGCUUUCCCUGAUAGUGUGAUCGUUCUUUAGCUCAUUUCUUUCUAAAAUGGGCCAGCUUAUUCUAAGCAGUUUGAAGUGUGAUUCCAUGGCAAUUUCAGGUGAUCUCAAUCCCAACUUCUUUCUCGCCCCCUCCUCCCAUUCCCAGGCCCGUGUUCCCAUCUCUUUUCCUGUGCUGGCAUUGCCAACGAGGCUGCUUUUGGCUCUACAGAGGAGGACACAGUAAACAACUAAGAAAGUCGGUUUUGGGAUUGAGUACCUCCAUCGGGAAGAGCAGUGAUGAGCAGAGCAUGACUUGAGAUGCAGAAGAGAACAGCCUGGAGCUGGAGAGCCAGGCUGGGAGGAAGGAAGCUGACAUCAACUAAGAUUAAAUUUGCUUGGGUUUGCCUGGAAAGCAACCCGGUAUUUAGUAAAGAAAGUCUUUGCUCCUGCUUCCUUUUCAACCAUCUCAGCACCUUAAAGAGGGCAACAUACUUUAAAAGGAUGUACUGUAUCUUUGCCGGUCUCCGCUAAAGUGAGCGGUGGAUAUAUGAGUGUUACAGGUUCGCCUGUGAGAGACUUCUGGACACUGGCAUUCUUUUAAAUGGGAUUGGUUUCUAAGUCAUGUAUGGCUCUCUCUCAGGAGCAUGGGUGCCAUAUGUGAUAAACACAGCUACAAAACGAGCAUCCCAGAUAUUCGUCCUUGAAGCUGAAUUUUCAGAGCUGAAGGAAUAGUUUGAAGCUGAAGUGUGGUCUUCCAGGCUGGUUUUGAGAAUUACAGAACCUAAACCAUGGCUUAUGCGUGUCACUUCUUGCCUUGAAAAAU
This is a long non-coding RNA of Calidris pugnax (ruff), 858 nucleotides long. RefSeq lists it as uncharacterized. The record is from RefSeq and is a predicted model, not a curated record. The transcript has 4 exons. NCBI's taxonomy places the organism in Eukaryota, Metazoa, Chordata, Aves, Charadriiformes, Scolopacidae.